RNAcentral lists this ribosomal RNA (585 nucleotides) under uncultured bacterium. Its description in RNAcentral is "bacterial SSU rRNA". It matches the Rfam family "Bacterial small subunit ribosomal RNA", at positions 338 to 916 of the family's 1533-position model. The record is from RNAcentral.
CCUACGGGAGGCAGCAGUGGGGAAUUUUGGACAAUGGGCGCAAGCCUGAUCCAGCAAUGCCGCGUGAGUGAAGAAGGCCUUCGGGUUGUAAAGCUCUUUUGUCAGGGAAGAAACGGUGGGAGCUAAUAUCUCCCGCUAAUGACGGUACCUGAAGAAUAAGCACCGGCUAACUACGUGCCAGCAGCCGCGGUAAUACGUAGGGUGCAAGCGUUAAUCGGAAUUACUGGGCGUAAAGCGUGCGCAGGCGGCUUUGUAAGUCUGUCGUGAAAGCCCCGGGCUCAACCUGGGAAUUGCGAUGGAGACUGCAAGGCUUGAAUCUGGCAGAGGGGGGGUAGAAUUCCACGUGUAGCAGUGAAAUGCGUAGAGAUGUGGAGGAACACCGAUGGCGAAGGCAGCCCCCUGGGUCAAGAUUGACGCUCAUGCACGAAAGCGUGGGGAGCAAACAGGAUUAGAUACCCUGGUAGUCCACGCCCUAAACGAUGUCUACUAGUUGUCGGGUUUUAAUUAACUUGGUAACGCAGCUAACGCGUGAAGUAGACCGCCUGGGGAGUACGGUCGCAAGAUUAAAACUCAAAGGAUUGACGG